This 64-nucleotide transfer RNA is filed under the name Laomedia astacina. Its description in RNAcentral is "tRNA-Lys". The record is from RNAcentral. Lineage: Eukaryota; Metazoa; Arthropoda; Malacostraca; Decapoda; Laomediidae.
UAUCUAGUGUCUGAUUAAAGUAUAAAUCUUUUAAAUUUAUUAUAGUGUUUACACUCUAGAUAGC